RNA transcript from Tripterygium wilfordii, 1113 nucleotides. RefSeq lists it as uncharacterized. NCBI's taxonomy places the organism in Eukaryota, Viridiplantae, Streptophyta, Magnoliopsida, Celastrales, Celastraceae. The record is from RefSeq and is a predicted model, not a curated record. The transcript is spliced from 5 exons.
CCUUUUUCCACCCUGUAGAAUUGUAAGUUUUCAUCUCCCCUUCCAUAAAACCUAAAAUAAAAACCCUCCUAAAUUCCUAAUUUUUCAGUCAUCGCGUGUAAUUAGCCCCAAAAUAAGAAAAAGCGGUAAGCAUGAAAAAAUCCAAAGUAAAAUCCCUAAUAAAGAUUCGAUUUUAUGGGCAAAUCCCCUCCUAUCAACACAGUCAAGCUACAAUAUCUCGUGAGAACCACUAAAGCCCCAAAACCUGCGUACCAAUUUGUUAAGGAGAAGUCGAAGAACAUGGAGAGCAGCAGCCGCGCUGACAGAGAUGAGAGAAGUAGUUGCAACGGUAGCGUCAGCAACGCGACACGCUUGCUGCUGUCGGAGGUUGUGUCGGAUUGCGUAAAGCGGUGGUUCAAAGACACGCUUAAAGAAGCCAAAGCAGGGGAUAUAAACAUGCAGGUCUUGGUGGGUCAGAUGUAUUACAGUGGUUAUGGCGUUCCCAGAGACGUCCAAAUGGGAAGAAUUUGGAUGACAAGAGCAUCAAGGACUAGAUCCUCAGUUUGGAAAGUCAGUGAUAAGCGUCCAGGUUAUAAUGCUAGUGACUCAGAUUCAGAUGAGUUGAAGGGUGAUUCUUAGCGAGUUAAGAUAUUAAUUAAUGUUCACACACUGAAAGCUUGAAAUGGUUGUGUUUGUUGUACACAAACAAUUGAAAGGGCAUUGCAAAGUAGAGGGUUCUGUAAGUUCAGUGGUGAGGUAGUAAAUCACUUGCUUCCUCUGUGCCGUGAGGAAAUGACCGUGUGUGUGUCAUGUUUGAAACUUUUGGAGUGUGCUUAGUGAUGUCUUGUUCUGCAGUGGACAUGCUGCUGUUGUUUAAGAUGAAGUUUGAAAGGUUCCUGCUUGGUGCUGUUUUUCCUCCUCCGCCACUUCGAGGUUUGAAUGUCCAUGGAACAAUUUUCAUUCUUUUUAGUAUUUUGAAUAUCCUUUCUGUCUGGUUCUUUUUUCUCAUACUAGCUCCUCCUUUGUAAUCUUUACUGUUUACUUCCUUUUAACUGAAAUCUUUUUUUUGUUAAUAAAUACAAAACAAUUGUAAUUUGUCAAAAUUUCUCUGGGUGCCUAGAAUGUUUAUGGAAG